RNAcentral lists this ribosomal RNA (253 nucleotides) under uncultured bacterium. RNAcentral's name for it is "partial 16S ribosomal RNA". It matches the Rfam family "Archaeal small subunit ribosomal RNA", at positions 474 to 727 of the family's 1478-position model. The record is from RNAcentral.
UACCAGCACCCCGAGUGGUCGGGACGUUUAUUGGGCCUAAAGCAUCCGUAGCCGGUUCUACAAGUCUUCCGUUAAAUCCACCUGCUCAACAGAUGGGCUGCGGAAGAUACUAUGGAGCUAGGAGGCGGGAGAGGCAAGCGGUACUCGAUGGGUAGGGGUAAAAUCCGUUGAUCCAUUGAAGACCACCAGUGGCGAAGGCGGCUUGCCAGAACGCGCUCGACGGUGAGGGAUGAAGGCUGGGGGAGCAAACCGG